Asparagus officinalis (garden asparagus) is the source of this 7388-nucleotide long non-coding RNA. RefSeq lists it as uncharacterized. The record is from RefSeq and is a predicted model, not a curated record. The transcript has 2 exons. NCBI's taxonomy places the organism in Eukaryota, Viridiplantae, Streptophyta, Magnoliopsida, Asparagales, Asparagaceae.
CGUUCUCUUUUAUACAUCUGUCGAUUCAUCGCGUCGGAAGAAACCCCCAUUAACUCCAUACCCUUCCUCUUUGCCGUUCUAAUUUGUAGAUCCGUCAAUCUCCUAGAUCGGAGAAAACCCUAAUUUAUGUCAUCCUUUCCUUAGGGAAAAUCAAAGUUUAGUCCAUCCCUUCUCCUUAUGCAAUUGAAAGAUCAGAGGCAUAUCAAAUCUUUGAAGUUGAUGGUGUAUUCCUUUACUACGCGUUUGAUCCAUCAAAUUUUAGCCUGUUUGUUGAAGAAUUUUUUCGUUUUUAAGUUGCACGUUCAUCUCUUUGUAAGCAAUUGAAUCUCUGAUUCCUUGGAAAUUAUUGUUUUACUUGAUCCUUUAUAUUUUUAUAAUUAGUAGUUGAUCUAUCUAUUAUUAGGUUAAAAAUAAAAUUAUUAGUUUUGCAUGUGAAAUAUCCUAAUAUUUUGCAUGUUAAUAUCCUUUUAAGUAGUUGAAUUCUUUUGAAAUUUAUUCGCAUGUUAUUCUGGCCUGUUAUUAUUCAUUUUUCGUCCGUUGUUCAUUUAUUUGCCAUUUUUCUGCAUGUUGAUAUCUUUGUAAGUAGCUGUUUUCUCUAUUAUUGAAAUGAUUCCUUUGCGUCACUUGCCAUGAAUAUAUGAGAAUAUAUAUUUCUAUAUUGUGUAAUUUAAAGUCAAAGGAAAAGCAAAAAUAUAGCAUAAUCGUAACAAUUUAUGAUAAUUAGAAGUAAACAUGAAAAAAGUACUUAAUAUUUGCUCGUUUGCCAUGCCAUCGACGUUCUUAAAAUUCAAUGGGCUGCUGUUAAUCAUUUUCCCUUGAAUUUUGUAGUAAGGCAUGGUUUUAACACUAUGCGAAAUGUAGCCGUUGUGUUUGAUCAUUGAAUCUUGUUGUUGGACGUUCCUCUUUAGUAAUUCAUGUUUUCGUCGACUUCAUGUGCUUUAAAUAUACCUUUGAGGGAUUAAUGCAACGACCCAAGAAUGGGAUUCAUCCAUUUAUUGUGCAUGUUAAUCUGUUUGUAAGUAGUAAAUUUUUGUAUUAUUGAUUUUUUUCCUGAGCAUGACUUUCAAUGAGUAUUUGAGAAUAUAUAUUUAUUUGCUGUGUAAUUUUAAGGCAAAGGAAAAUGAAAAUUAAUAGGUUAAUCAUAAUAGUUUAUGAUGAUCAGAAGUAGACAUGAAAAAAGUAUGUGACAUUUGCUCAUAAAUGUUCAAAUUGUAGAAACGUAAUAUAUUUAGACAUGCAUAAGAAAGUUAUUUGAUUGUUUCCUGAACACUGUUGUUUGCUAUGUCAUUGAAGUCUUAAAGUUCAAAGGGCUAAUAUUAAUUUCCUUCGCUUAACUUCUGUGUUAAGGCAUGAUUUUAACAUGAAACGAAAUCUCACCGCUGUGUUUGAUUGUGGAAUGUUGUUCUUGGAGUUUAUUCUUUAUUAAUUCUUGUGAAUUGUUGAUUUCAUGUGAUUUACAUAUAUCUUUGAUGGAGCAAUUCAACGGGCGAAUAAUGGGAUACAUCCACCCUUUGAUGGUUUAAGUAACAUAAUUUUUUAUUAGCUUAUGUUAUACCCACAACAGUCUAUUUUACUCCUUCUGGUGAUUUGCAUAUAUGUUUGCAUUAAUGGAGUUAAAUAAUAAAUACCCACACAAAGUAAUAUAUUUUGGUAAUAGGAAAUUUUAGAUGAUGCAAUUCAUAUAGCUAAUGAUUGUGUUUGUUAUAUUCUUCUUGUUAAUUGAUAUAGUUUGCUAUUUGUGCUUGCAUUGAGGUAUUGUUUGUUGGCUUCUUGUUGUAUGUACUGCUUGGUUGUAUCUUAAUGACGAAUGGCUUUCUAUGGUAGUUGAUAGUGGUAUGAGUUCUUUCUAUUUAAGUUUUUUAAGAGGAGCAAUGAUGAUGAUAACAAACUGAGAAUACAUCCUAUAUUAAUUAUGUAAUGUUUAGGCGAGGCAAUUAUGUGUGGAAUGCAACUUACAUUGAUAUUACAAAGUUUGGGUGAGGUAAUCUAUCAUAUUAGCAGCCUACAUUGCAUCAUACUUUUAUAGGAGAGGCAAUCUAUUAUGACCCAUUUAUUUAUAUCCUGAGCCGCACUAAAUAAUCACUCAUCCUGCUAUUGAUUUUGAUCUUGUUUAGCCAUAUGUUUUGUGGGAAUAGUUGCUGUUUUUCAUGCUUUUAUGCUGAUUUCAAGCUAUUUUAUUUCUGUUUUGUGAUAUAUUUGUUUUAGUUUGAUUGCAUGUUUGAGUUGUUGUUCUUGUUUUCGUAAUUCAUAUUCUGUAGUUAUUGAGCUUGUUUUAACUAAAAUUGAGUUUUUGACAAAUUUUCUGGUCAAUAAAAUGAUAUUGCAAAGUAAUUUACAAUGUUCAUAGCAAGAUGAGGUGUUGUUUACUACGUUAUUAGAAUGCAAUACAUAUGAUGUUAUACGUUUCAUUUGAGGCAAUAAAUUUUGACAAAAUAAAAAAAUCUGAGCGAAAUUACUUCAUAAAAAUAUGAAUGAUGACAUGAAAUUGGCAAAGUAGUAAACGAUUUGAAUAGAGCAUUGAUUUUGAUUUAACUAAAGUAAAUAAAAUUCUAUGUCACAGCACUAAUACAUUGUUACGAACGUUGUGCUUAUGAAUUAAGAGAGCAUUAAUUAUACAAUUUGUGUCACAGAUAAUGUUACAAUAUUAAGACUUUCACCAACUUUUUUGAUGUUUAUCUUUCAAAGCAUUGGCUCUUCCUUUAUUUUAAAAUUGUACUCACCUCCACUGUAAUGAUAGCAUCAUUGUCUGUUAGUUUUUUAACUGAUGGUUGUCUAUGUAGCAAGCUAAUUUUACGUGGCUUUUAAUAUGCAUUGAAAAUAAAAUUUCACUAGUUAGGUAUCAUGAUUAUAUCAUUGUAAAUAUGAGAGAUAGUGCAAUGAUAUAACAAAUAAAUUUGUUGAUCUCUUUAUUAAUGCCCAGAUCAUUUAUAGCAUUUAAUGUUAUACUGAAGAAAUGAAGAGUUUCAUAUAACGUUUCAAAAGCUAGCAUUUAAUAUCAUAAAAUUAAAUUUAUACAAUGUUAAAACUUAUACCUGUUUGUAAGUUGUUGAAAUUUUUUUUAUAAACAAUAUUGUUUGUAAAGUUUUUGCUUUGUUCUUGCUCCUUCUCUAUCAAAAUCUUAAGCCCUCUCGGUGAAGUUACUCUGGAGACAGUAACAUACAACUGGCCAUGUGUAAAACAUGGCCUUGGAAAUGUAUAAUCCCACAAUUUUUAAUGUUUGUCCUUGGCUUUUAUUUAUUGUCAUUGCAAAUGAUGGUCUGAUUGGAAAUUGUCUUCUCUUCAUGUGGAAUGGCCAUUUUGAAUCUGUGUUUGUCAAGACACAUCUUGGAAUGAAGUGUUUUGUUUCGAUAUUGGACCCACUGAUUAUUCUUGCUUCUAUUAUCCACUUCAUCAAUUGUGUUACUAUCAUCCUCGUGCCAUUGCAAAGGCCUUCUGUUGGACUUAGAUUAUACAACAACAUGAUUGGAGUUCCAACUUUUAGUUUUAUUUGAUGAUUUGGCAUUCUUGGAAAUGUUAAUGAAUUGAGGAAUUCUAUAGGGUAGCUUGCUUCAUUUUCUUGCAGAUUUGGAGAAGUGGCGCAAAUGGAAUCUGAGCUUAAGUAAGUUACUUAUUCACCUUGUAUUUUUUCUUGAAUGAUGUCAUUUAUAAUAUCUACAUUUUCAUUUCUUGGAGUCAAGAUUACUAUCUCUUGUAAAUAGCCUGUAUUAGAAAAGUUUUCUAGCAGAUUUGGAUAAGUCUAGGAUAUAAUAUCAUGUAAUGGAUUUCCAGUUGAAUGAAUAAUGAAAUCUUCUGGUAUCUCAAUUAAUGGCUCACCAUUGUUAGAUGCAUCUUCUACUGAUUGUAAGUGACCAUUUCCAAUAUUAAGCACCCAUCUUCCGAAAUCAUCUAUUGCCAUGCCAUUGUCUUCAGAUUCUAUUUGUUGUAGCCUCAUGUUUUGCGUCAAAGCAAAUAAUUUGCAUUCAUUCCAUAAUCUAGAACUGCUAAUUGAAGUGUUCAAUAUGUCAUACUUGUUACCUCCUGGCAGUACUGGUGAUAUUUGCCUAAAAUCUCCCCCUAGAACAACUGUUAUCCCUCCAAAUGGUUUGAUUUGAGCCAACUCAUCUUGGCUUCUUAAAAUGUCUUGUAAUGUACAAUCUACCCUUAGAACCAUUGUAUUACAUGACCUGCACCAGACUUUCCCCAAAGUUGAUGGUGUUUUUUUGGCACAAUCUGGACAUCUAACAUAGCUAAUCCAGUUCCUUGACAACUCCAAUGAUUUGCACAUCACAUAUGAAAAAGUACACCUAUAAUUGAAAGAGUUGGUAUUAGAAUGCAGUUAGCAAUUAGGUAGUUAUACUUUGAAUAAAUCGACAGAUUUAUCAUUACCUUUUGAAUUUCCUGCAUCAUUAAAAUAUAUAACUUCAUAUGGGCAAUGCUUGAGAAGCCUUUACUAAUUCUUGUUGCUAAUUGAGCAUGUUGCUUAUUUGUGCUUACAUUGAGGUAUUGGUUGUUCGCUUCUUUUGGUAUAUAAUAUAAUGCGCAGUUUGACCUUAAUGAUGGAAAGCUUUCUUUGGUAAUCAAUUCUGGUAUGAGCUCUUUUGCUUUAUGUUUUCUUAGUUGAGCAAUGAUGAUGAUUAGAAUCUGAGGAUGCAUCUUAUAUUAAUUAUGUAUUAUUAAAUAUGUAAUGCUUAGGCGAGGCAAUUUUGUGUGGAAAUCAACCUAUAUUGAGAUUACAAUGUUUAGGUGUGGUAAUCCAUUAUAAUAGCAUCCUACUUUUUUUUAUUACAAUGUGAUAUCAAAGCUUAGGCGAGGCAAUUUAUUGUGGAAUGCAACCUACAUUGAAAUCACAAUGUUUAGGUGAGGUAACACUCAUAAUAGCAACCUACAUUGCAUCAUCAUCAUACAUUUAUAGGAGAGACAAUCUUUUGUGACCAAUCUAUUUAUAUCUUGAGCCCUAGUAAGUAUUCAUAAAUUUAUGUGAUGAUUUUGAGCUUGUUUAGCUCUAAUUUAAAAGAGUUGGUUUCAGCUUGUAUCCUACAUGACCAAUCUAUUUUCACGUACUCAGCAAUUAUCAUGUAGCUUUUAUGACCAAUCUUUUUAUCUAUUUUUAUGUACUCAGCAAUUUUUAUGUAGCUUUUAUAAUUGAAAGAGGUGGUUUUAGCCUGUAGUCUGCAAUGAUCUAUUCAUAAUUUCAAAAAAGUAAUAAAUAUGUAAUACCUGUGAAGUUCCUGGAGCAUCGAAAUUUACUACUUCAUAAAGUGUUGCUUUUGUAGCCUUGAUUGUUUCUAGUUGAGUAUUGGAUAAAUUCACAGAUGAAGUUACUAACUGCAAGUUGUUUUCAUUGUGAGUAUUCCUACAUGUAUAACAAAGAAGUUAUUAUCAGUAGUAUAGAUAGUUCCAGAUUCAUUAAUUAGAAGUUAUGUUACACAAAGUUUUAACAAUGUAUUGUGUAACCUUCUUACCCUUGUAGUAAUUUUUGAACUCUUACUUCAUCAAUAUUGUAGUACACUUUUAUUGCUGUCAUUGAUGAAACGGUAUUGUUACCUAUGUAUCAAUACAUGCAUAUAAAGAUUAAUGAAUAUUUAUAUUUCUGAAUGUUAAAAUGCAAGGAACGGCGAUCUAAAUUCUACCUCUGAAGUUUUUAACUAAAACUCCAGUCACCACGAUAACAACAUUAUUUGUAUCAUGAUCUUUAAAGCUGGAGUCAAAGUCGAUUGCUAGUUUAUUCCGUAAUGUGAUCAUACACUCAUCAUGCCUGUAAAAAAAUGAUUCAUAUUAAACUAUUAACAUGCCUUUGAACUUCUCUUUAGGUUAAGUUAUAAUAAUACAAUCUUACUGUUCAUCUAUUAGUUUAAUAGAUCUUACCUGUGGACAUUUUCCCAGAAUUUGUUGACUCUCCUGUCAGAUAGACUUCCUUCAUAAUGCCUGCAAUGUCUGUUAUAGUAUAUAUUCAUGCUAACUUAGUAUUCAUGUUCAUGUAUUAGCAACUGUAAAACAAAAAAGGCCAUUAAUUACCACCUCUUAGAUAAGUAUUCUUAUCUUUAUAUAAGUAUAGAUCAUUGAAAGGAACAAAGUCAAAUUUAUAUUUUGCAAUGCUGUCGUCCGCUAUUUGGAGAACUCUAACCACUGUUUGCCUGCAGAAACAGAUUAUGAUUUUGUUCUCCGUUGUUUGGUAAUUGCCAAAUGCGGUAAGUACUCGGAACUUUGAUAUCACAUGUAUCUUUCCCUCCUCAAGCAAUGAACUAAACCUUGAUAUCUUAGUAUGUUUGAUUGUCCCUUGACAGUGAGUGUCGUAUGCAAUUGAAGUAUAUAUUAUUGUUCGAUCAAAAUGACAUACGAAGAGUAAUCAACAUGUUAAAUUAAAUAUAUUGUUCCUUACAUUUUCAUCCAAUAGUGUUAGAUGCAAGCCGAAUAUAUCCCCAUUCUUGAUAUUCACAUUGUCCCAUAUUCUAAUCACCCUUACCUUAAUGAUUGCAUCAUUGUCUUUGGUGGUUAAAUUACUGAUGGUUGAGUAGCUAGCAAGCGCCAUCUGUGCGUCCUUUAAUCUGUAGUGAAAUGUUAAUUUCAUCAUUUAUGCAAACAUUAUUUAUAUAUAGGUAAUAUGCAAACUAAUGUAAUUAUCCAUUAGUUGUGGUUUGUAGGACAGUGACAUGAUUAACUUGCUUGGCUAUGCAAACGGCAAUAUGACGAAAUAAUUGUAUAUGUAAUUUCUUAAUCGCAUCGCCUCCUACAUGACAAAGUACUUGGGUAUGUAACUCCUACAUGACAAACUACUUAUCACUGACGGUUAUUGGCUGAAGAGGAGGCGAGAGGCGUCGUCAAUCCGCAGGUAAUAUCUAUAUAAAUUCGUGAUUCAUGAUUUUCCUAAGUUUGGAGGUGUUUUCUUCUGCCAAAACUCUUGCAGAUUUGUUUUUUUCAUUUCUUUAUUGGUUGUCAGUUGGCUCGCUGAACUUGUUUGAGAGGGUGCUACAGUAAUUUCUUGUGUAUUGGUAACAUGCAACAUGCAACAUUUAAAGGGGCAAAGAUGAACAUGGCAACAUGCAACAUUAAAAGUUAUAAAUGUAUUAUAGUGAGAAACAUGAAUGUAAUGAGCUGUGGAAUUACCUGAGCUAGUGAGAUGAGCUAGUGAGAGGAAUUUUUGUUUGAGUGACUUUUGAAUGUGAUAACUAUAUUGUACUCGGAUUAUAUAGAGGGAGAAACAGGUGAGGGGGAAAAUCGGUUUGGAGGGAAGUUCAAAUAGAUGGAGAAGACAUGUGGGUGGGGGGGAUUAUUUGAACUCUUCCUUAUGUUUUAUAUUUGAAUUAAACCGCAAAAACCGGCUGGACUGUAGCGGGAUUUAACUGCAGAAAAGUUAUUUUGUAAUUUUCAAAAAUUUAAAAGCAAUAUAAUGAUAUAUAAUAAUCGGUUUA